Molecule: ribosomal RNA, 529 nt
Filed under: uncultured bacterium
Lineage: Bacteria
Description: partial 16S ribosomal RNA
Rfam family: Bacterial small subunit ribosomal RNA
Source: RNAcentral
GACGAACGCUGGCGGCGUGCCUAAUACAUGCAAGUCGAACGAACUCUGGUAAUGAUUGGUGCUUGCAUCAUGAAUUACAUUUGAGUGAGUGGCGAACUGGUGAGUAACACGUGGAAACCUGCCCAGAAGCGGGGGAUAACACCUGGAAACAGAUGCUAAUACCGCAUAACAACUUGGACCGCAUGGUCCGAGUUUGAAAGAUGGCUUCGGCUAUCACUUUUGGAUGGUCCCGCGGCGUGUUAGCUAGAUGGUGAGGUAACGGCUCACCAUGGCAAUGAUACGUAGCCGACCUGAGAGGGUAAUCGGCCACAUUGGGACUGAGACACGGCCCAAACGCCUACGGGAGGCAGCAGUAGGGAAUCUUCCACAAUGGACGAAAGUCUGAUGGAGCAACGCCGCGUGAGUGAAGAAGGGUUUCGGCUCGUAAAACUCUUUUGUUAAAGAAGAACAUAUCUGAGAGUAACUGUUCAGGUAUUGACGGUAUUUAACCAGAAAGCCACGGCUAACUACGUGCCAGCCGCCGCCGUAA